This 448-nucleotide ribosomal RNA is filed under the name uncultured bacterium. RNAcentral describes it as "bacterial SSU rRNA". It matches the Rfam family "Bacterial small subunit ribosomal RNA", at positions 329 to 794 of the family's 1533-position model. The record is from RNAcentral.
UUCCAGACUCCUACGGGAGGCAGCAGUGGGGAAUAUUGCACAAUGGGGGGAACCCUGAUGCAGCGACGCCGCGUGGGUGAAGGAGUACUUCGGUACGUAAAGCCCUAUCAGCAGGAAAGAAAAUGACGGUACCUGACUAAGAAGCCCCGGCUAACUACGUGCCAGCAGCCGCGGUAAUACGUAGGGGGCAAGCGUUAUCCGGAUUUACUGGGUGUAAAGGGAGCGUAGACGGCGAUGCAAGCCAGAUGUGAAAGCCCGGGGCUCAACCCCGGGACUGCAUUUGGAACUGUGUGGCUGGAGUGUCGGAGAGGCAGGCGGAAUUCCUAGUGUAGCGGUGAAAUGCGUAGAUAUUAGGAGGAACACCAGUGGCGAAGGCGGCUUACUGGGCGGCAACUGACGCUGAGGCUCGAAAGCGUGGGGAGCAAACAGGAUUAGAUACCCCGGUAGA